CAGUCGCCACGGUAAUACAGAGGGUGCAAGCGUUAAUCGGAAUUACUGGGCGUAAAGCGCGCGUAGGUGGUUCGCCAAGUUGGAUGUGAAAUCCCCGGGCUCAACCUGGGAACUGCAUCCAAAACUGGCGAGCUAGAGUAUGGUAGAGGGUGGUGGAAUUUCCUGUGUAGCGGUGAAAUGCGUAGAUAUAGGAAGGAACAUCAGUGGCGAAGGCGACCACCUGGACUGAUACUGACACUGAGGUGCGAAAGCGUGGGGAGCAAACAGGAUUAGAUACCCCUGUAGUCCUUGUCUCUUAUAC
This 301-nucleotide ribosomal RNA is filed under the name uncultured bacterium. Its description in RNAcentral is "partial 16S ribosomal RNA". It matches the Rfam family "Bacterial small subunit ribosomal RNA", at positions 509 to 807 of the family's 1533-position model. The record is from RNAcentral.